CCUACGGGGGGCAGCAGUGAGGAAUAUUGGUCAAUGGGCGCAAGCCUGAACCAGCCAUGCCGCGUGCAGGAUGACGGUCCUAUGGAUUGUAAACUGCUUUUGCACAGGAAGAAACACUACCUCGUGAGGUAGCUUGACGGUACUGUGAGAAUAAGGAUCGGCUAACUCCGUGCCAGCAGCCGCGGUAAUACGGAGGAUCCAAGCGUUAUCCGGAAUCAUUGGGUUUAAAGGGUCCGUAGGCGGUCUAAUAAGUCAGUGGUGAAAGCCCUACGCUCAACGUAGGAACGGCCAUUGAUACUGUUAGACUUGAAUUACUUGGAAGUAACUAGAAUAUGUAGUGUAGCGGUGAAAUGCUUAGAGAUUACAUGGAAUACCAAUUGCGAAGGCAGGUUACUACAAGUGGAUUGACGCUGAUGGACGAAAGCGUGGGUAGCGAACAGGAUUAGAUACCCGAGUAGUC
Molecule: ribosomal RNA, 460 nt
Filed under: uncultured bacterium
Lineage: Bacteria
Description: bacterial SSU rRNA
Rfam family: Bacterial small subunit ribosomal RNA
Source: RNAcentral